This 400-nucleotide ribosomal RNA is filed under the name uncultured bacterium. RNAcentral's name for it is "bacterial SSU rRNA". It matches the Rfam family "Bacterial small subunit ribosomal RNA", at positions 28 to 432 of the family's 1533-position model. The record is from RNAcentral.
GAUAAACGCUGGCGGCGUGCCUAACACAUGCAAGUCGAACGUCCUCUCUCGCAAGAGAGAGGGAGUGGCGGACGGGUGAGUAACACAUGGGUCACCUACCCUUAAGUGAGGAAUACCGGCGAGAAAUCGCCGACAAGACCGCAUAGGCUCUCUCUUUUGCAAGAGAGAGCAAAGCUUCGCAAGAGGCGCUUGAGGAUGGGGCCUGUGGCCGAUUAGCUGGUUGGAGGGUAAUGGCUUACCAAGGCGACGAUCGGUAGCUGGUCUGAGAGGACGAUCAGCCACACUGGGAUUGAGAACGGCCCAGACUCCUACGGGGGCAGCAGUGAGGAAUUUCCGCAAUGGGGGCAACCCUGACGGAGCAACGCCGCGUGCAGGAAGACGCUUUUCGGAGUGUAAACUG